CCUGUGACGGUCUGGGGCUUACACCUGGAGGGAGUCUACGAGGAGCUCAUGUUAAACAUUUGGGUUCUUCACUCAUGCCAUGAGGAUGUCUACUAGGGUCCAUAUACCCUCCACUAAAGUCUCCCCCUUCAUGGUCUUCAACAAUGAUGACAACUGGAGACAACAGCUGAUGAGAUGAUUGCACACCCAUCUGAGUGACUUGGUCCCGUCCGUCUUUAUUGAGAAGCUCAGGUCACACUUCUUCCUGGUCUUCAACCUUGGAAGGCUUCUGUCUACAUAUGCUAGAGCAUCAGCUUUGAUCUCUUUCCCCAAGUUAUUGGCUCCAAUUUCUGCCUGUGAACACAAUCUGGACUUGGUGUUGCCUCUCCUUUCUUGCAGACUUGCAUCUCCGAAUUUUCUAGCUUGUGGACAUCCCUCUGG
RNAcentral lists this long non-coding RNA (420 nucleotides) under Vulpes vulpes (red fox). Its description in RNAcentral is "lncRNA (ENSVVUG00000019394.1)". Lineage: Eukaryota; Metazoa; Chordata; Mammalia; Carnivora; Canidae. The record is from RNAcentral.